RNAcentral lists this ribosomal RNA (496 nucleotides) under uncultured Streptococcus sp. RNAcentral's name for it is "bacterial SSU rRNA". It matches the Rfam family "Bacterial small subunit ribosomal RNA", at positions 28 to 508 of the family's 1533-position model. Lineage: Bacteria; Bacillati; Bacillota; Bacilli; Lactobacillales; Streptococcaceae. The record is from RNAcentral.
GACGAACGCUGGCGGCGUGCCUAAUGCAUGCAAGUAGAACGCUGAAGGAGGAGCUUGCUUCUCUGGAUGAGUUGCGAACGGGUGAGUAACGCGUAGGUAACCUGCCUGGUAGCGGGGGAUAACUAUUGGAAACGAUAGCUAAUACCGCAUAAUAGUAGAUGUUGCAUGACAUUUGCUUAAAAGGUGCAAUUGCAUCACUACCAGAUGGACCUGCGUUGUAUUAGCUAGUUGGUGGGGUAACGGCUCACCAAGGCGACGAUACAUAGCCGACCUGAGAGGGUGAUCGGCCACACUGGGACUGAGACACGGCCCAGACUCCUACGGGAGGCAGCAGUAGGGAAUCUUCGGCAAUGGACGGAAGUCUGACCGAGCAACGCCGCGUGAGUGAAGAAGGUUUUCGGAUCGUAAAGCUCUGUUGUAAGAGAAGAACGAGUGUGAGAGUGGAAAGUUCACACUGUGACGGUAUCUUACCAGAAAGGGACGGCUAACUACGUGC